UACACAUUAAGAAUUCAGAAGUAAAGGUGUC
This 31-nucleotide non-coding RNA is filed under the name Rattus norvegicus (Norway rat). Lineage: Eukaryota; Metazoa; Chordata; Mammalia; Rodentia; Muridae. The record is from RNAcentral.